UACAGAGGUGGCAAGCGUUGUUCGGAAUUACUGGGCGUAAAGGGCGCGUAGGCGGUUCGUUAAGUCCUGUGUGAAAUCCCCCGGCUCAACUGGGGAACUGCACAGGAAACUAGCGGGCUUGAGUUCGGGAGAGGGAAGCGGAAUUCCGGGUGUAGCGGUGAAAUGCGUAGAUAUCCGGAGGAACACCGGUGGCGAAGGCGGGCUCCUG
Molecule: ribosomal RNA, 208 nt
Filed under: uncultured bacterium
Lineage: Bacteria
Description: partial 16S ribosomal RNA
Rfam family: Bacterial small subunit ribosomal RNA
Source: RNAcentral